RNAcentral lists this non-coding RNA (31 nucleotides) under unclassified sequences. Its description in RNAcentral is "L31-Firmicutes ribosomal protein leader". It matches the Rfam family "L31-Firmicutes ribosomal protein leader". The record is from RNAcentral.
CUAUGACACAAGUAUGUCAUGGCGGAAGGAG